GACAGAGGUGCCGAGCGUUAGGCGGAAUCACUGGGCUUAAAGCGUGUGUAGGCGGAUCGUUAAGUGUCUUGUGAAAUCCCACGGCUCAACCGUGGAACUGCUGGGCAUACUGGCGAUCUUGGGCCACCUAGGGGCAGACGGAACAGGCGGUGGAGCGGUGAAAUGCGUAGAUAUUGCUCGGAAGGCCAGAGCCGAAGGGGCCCUACUGGUGCGCAACUGACACUGAGGCACGAAAGCGUGGGGAGCAAACAGG
This 253-nucleotide ribosomal RNA is filed under the name uncultured bacterium. Its description in RNAcentral is "partial 16S ribosomal RNA". It matches the Rfam family "Bacterial small subunit ribosomal RNA", at positions 524 to 776 of the family's 1533-position model. The record is from RNAcentral.